ACAUAUAAUGUGUUUGGCCCUUUCUUAACUAUGCUGGAGUCGUCUUCCAGUCGGAUAUAACCGGAUGCUGCUGAAAAUUAGUGUUUUAUAUGGAGUGAGCCUAUCUUUUUCUUCCUCCUGCCCUAUUACUGACGUCUUAAAUCCAGUUACCGGGCCAACCCGAUACCCCUUGGUAAAAUUGGUUGUCAGACUUUCUUGCUUUAGACAAGAUGGUCACUCAUCCACGGAACGACAGCGCCAAGCCUUGCUUUUAACCUUUCAAUCGAUUCGCGCCACCAUUAUAUUAUAUUUCCGCAAAAGCUUUUUCAGGUCAGCUCAUUACGUCGUGUAGUUUGAUAUUUAAUGCAUAGUAUAUUAUUUAAUAGGUACCUAGAAGGUACCUAGUUCUUGAAAGUGUGAGUUGAGAGUUUGCAGUCAGGUGAAAUGAGGGUUUUUGAAAUUUUUUCUGCCACCGGGUGGCGCCACGUAUGCGUCUGGUCCAAACAGCUGUCAAAUAGUAUGGAAUUGUAGGUGCCGAACUUAUUGUUUAUUGAAAUUCUGUUAUAUUGGAAGUGUUAUUGAUUUUAUUAUGGACUACGGUCAGAAUAAGGUUUCCGAACUAAAAAUUGAGCUAAGAGAGAAGGUGCAAAAGUCACUGGUACUAAGGAAAAGCUUGUUGAAAAAUUUGUUAACACAAUAUGAUUUAGUUUUUUUUAUUUACUCAACCGCAAUAGUAAAACAAUAAUGCAGUGCUUUAAUUAUAAAAUAAAAAAAACACUAAAAUCGUUCACUAUUCAUAGUAAAGAUAAGCACUUUGACAGUUAUUGGACCUGACGACUCGGUGCUGCCAUCUCGUGGAUUGCCAUUUUAGAAAACCCUCAUUGGUGCAAUGCGUCAAGUGUGCCACGUUAUUCUUGAAGCUUGAGCUUUCUGGCUCAAGGCUAAAGCUCAAUGUAUACCUGUACCUGAAACGUAGGUCAUAUACUGUUAUCAUAUUUUUAUAUCAAGACUAUACAUAUUUCGGGUACUGCAUUUCUAUGCAUUAAUUUUCCACUAUUAUAGUGCAGUAACGUAAUGACGUCAAGGUACUGUAAAUAAACAGUUAGAGUAGGUUUGUUUACGGUUCCGAUGCACUAGCGUACUAUUUGUGUAGUUACGUGAACUCACCAGAGGCACUACCAUGGUUUAUUUACACUGCGCUGAUGCAAUCGGCUAACCUUACAGAUAUUGAGUGAUAUAGCGGUUUGAUGUCAGAGAUCAUAAAAAAACGGAUGUCAAAUGUACACCAGUGAAAUAAUUGCAAUCCUAUCAUUAAAUAAUCUUUUUUCACUAUCAAAAUUUAUCAGAAAGCAAUAUUUGUUUAUAGCAUUUAUAAAUAAGGAAAAUGAUAACUGAUCUAAAUGAAUUCCGUGCGUGGUGCGUACUAAUGUCGUCUACAAGUAAUUCAUACGCGAAACUCCAGCCAUGCUAGCACAAACUAGUUUGUGAUAACGAGAUCGGUAACAUUCAUGUAUAUAUAUGUAUGUAAAUUACCGUUCCCCAAUUCGUGGAAAUACUGAAGAAACUUGAUUUUUAUGUUAUGAUAACAAAAUAACAUUAAUUAUUUCAUUAAAAUAAGAGUAAAUCUAUGUGUAUAUACAUAUAUAUAUAUGUAACCCGGUUUCCGUUGUCACGAGUCACGACAUACUUAACAUGAAAACGGCUUGACCGAUUUGGCUGAAAAUUAGAGAGGAAGUAACUUAGACCCGGGAGAAGGUUUUAGGAUAGUUUUUGUCACCAUCCGUCUACGUGACGCGGGUAAAACCGCGGGCGAAAGCUAGUAAUAUAUAAUUGUUUUAAGUAAGAAGAACGAAACACAACUUCAUCUUCAAAGUCAUGGUAAUUUGCAAAGAGUCGUAGAUACUCUUGACUUGACUCGUGACAAUAGACAAUAAAAUUGCAACGUCAUUUCUAGACCAAAAUUGUGUUAACUGCCUUAGUUACGUCACAUGGCACUGAGUCUGAGUGCCGUACCGUACCAUUAACUUUAACACACCGACUAGGUAUUUGUUGUACCUACCUACAUGCAACUGGAACGGUUUGCUAAUAACUCUCAAGGUCUAAAUAAUUACUCAUAUUCAUUACCUCUGCUGUGCAAUGUCUCCAUGCAUAAUAAUGCCAGAGAACUGCUUUAGUAUUUGCCCUUUUGUAUGUGAGCAGUAGGUACUAAUAAAGAGUUUCAACGUCGGGUCCAGAAUGUACCCUUGUGGUACACUAGCCCUCUUAUUAUAAAACGCGGUAUCAAAUAAGUAUCGGCUUUUGUACUACCUUUAAUCCACCUUUAAGUACGACCUUGAAAAAACGUUAUUACAAAACGCAGUUUAUCGCAAGUCCUAUUACUAUCUGUAGUACAAAAGAUAAACCAUCGAGCCCCCUAGUUUAACUGCAGUACUUAGUCGACAAACGUCAAAUUCCGACAUUAUUUACUUUUGAGGUUAUUUGUUUUGUGAUGAAAAAAACGAAAGUGGAUAUAAAUAUGUGUGAUUUGGAAUACUUGGAUGUGUUAGAAUACUAUUGAGAGUGUCCGGGGACCCAACAGAAUGCGUCAUCGACAAAAUCUCUUCAAAUUACCUGACGACAAUUUUCGAUAUAAAUAUCGAUUUACGUUUUUCGAAAUAAUAGUCAAUUGAAUGCAUGAUGAUAAUCCAGGAUGAUUCUAUGAUGCUCAACUGGGCUCGCCAUAAAAUUCAAGACUAUUUUGGCGUUUUGCACGCCGUAUCUCUGAGAGUAAUAUGCAAUGUUUGUAAAAGACUGGAAGCUUGCUAAAAUGUACAAAAAUGCGUAGAUGAGAAAGGGAACAAGAUUGUGUGAUGAAGAACAGUGUCCAACAUGUAUCAGUGCAUUUGACUGUAUAAAUAGACAUCGGAAUAAAAUAUAAUUUUCUACUUU
Molecule: long non-coding RNA, 2907 nt
Organism: Helicoverpa armigera (cotton bollworm)
Lineage: Eukaryota; Metazoa; Arthropoda; Insecta; Lepidoptera; Noctuidae
Exons: 2
Source: RefSeq, a predicted model, not a curated record